This is a non-coding RNA of Gorilla gorilla gorilla (western lowland gorilla), 148 nucleotides long. It matches the Rfam family "Metazoan signal recognition particle RNA". From Rfam's summary of the family: The signal recognition particle (SRP) is a universally conserved ribonucleoprotein. It is involved in the co-translational targeting of proteins to membranes. The eukaryotic SRP consists of a 300-nucleotide 7S RNA and six proteins: SRPs 72, 68, 54, 19, 14, and 9. The record is from Rfam. Lineage: Eukaryota; Metazoa; Chordata; Mammalia; Primates; Hominidae.
GCUGGGUGUGGUGUUGCGCACCUGUAAUCCCAGCUACUUGGGAGGCUGAGGCGGGGGAAUCGCUUGAACUCGGGAGGCGGAGGUUGCAGUGAGCCGAGAUCGUGCCACUGCACUCCAGCCUGGGCGAAAGAGUGAGACUCCGUCUCAA